Molecule: ribosomal RNA, 231 nt
Filed under: Triticum aestivum (bread wheat)
Lineage: Eukaryota; Viridiplantae; Streptophyta; Magnoliopsida; Poales; Poaceae
Description: partial small subunit ribosomal RNA
Source: RNAcentral
AUGGCAACAAUGGGCGUGGGCGGAGCGGUGAAGAUGAUCGUCGGAGCGAAGGAGGAGCGGGUGGUGGCCACGGGCAAGGCGCCCGGCGCGUGCCCGUCCUGCGGCAGCCCCGUGGUGGCGACCGACGUGGAGAGCGAGCGGCGCAUCCUCUGCCUCCCGCUGUGCCUCAAGAACAAGCGCAAGUACUCCUGCACCAGGUGCUUCCGCCGCCUCGUCACCGCCUACAGCUAG